AAAACGUCGUGAGACAGUUUGGUCCCUAUCUGCCGUGGGCGUUGGAUACUUGACGGAGCCUGCUCCUAGUACGAGAGGACCGGAGUGGACGUACCUCUGGUGUACGGUUGUCAUGCCAAUGGCAUUGCCGGGUAGCUAAGUACGGAAGAGAUAACCGCUGAAGGCAUCUAAGCGGGAAACUCGUCUGAAGAUAAGGUAUCCCGGGGACUUGAUCCCCCUGAAGGGUCGUUCGAGACCAGGACGUUGAUAGGUCGGGUGUGGAAGCGCAGUAAUGCGUUAAGCUAACCGAUACUAAUUGCCCGUGAGGCUUGAUCCUAUAACACUGAUGGUUAUG
RNAcentral lists this ribosomal RNA (334 nucleotides) under Achromobacter xylosoxidans. RNAcentral describes it as "bacterial LSU rRNA". It matches the Rfam family "Bacterial large subunit ribosomal RNA", at positions 2613 to 2925 of the family's 2925-position model. The record is from RNAcentral. Lineage: Bacteria; Pseudomonadati; Pseudomonadota; Betaproteobacteria; Burkholderiales; Alcaligenaceae.